RNAcentral lists this ribosomal RNA (253 nucleotides) under uncultured bacterium. Its description in RNAcentral is "partial 16S ribosomal RNA". It matches the Rfam family "Bacterial small subunit ribosomal RNA", at positions 524 to 776 of the family's 1533-position model. The record is from RNAcentral.
UACGUAGGGUGCGAGCGUUGUCCGGAAUUAUUGGGCGUAAAGGGCUCGUAGACGGUCUGUCGCGUCGGGAGUGAAAACUCAGGGCUUAACCCUGAGCCUGCUUCCGAUACGGGCAGACUAGAGGUAUGCAGGGGAGAACGGAAUUCCUGGUGUAGCGGUGGAAUGCGCAGAUAUCAGGAGGAACACCGGUGGCGAAGGCGGUUCUCUGGGGAUUACCUGACGCUGAGGAGCGAAAGUGUGGGGAGCGAACAGG